Onychostoma macrolepis is the source of this 971-nucleotide long non-coding RNA. RefSeq lists it as uncharacterized. The record is from RefSeq and is a predicted model, not a curated record. The transcript has 3 exons. Lineage: Eukaryota; Metazoa; Chordata; Actinopteri; Cypriniformes; Cyprinidae.
GCAGACACAUAGCUGAAGCGGAUUGACAUCUUGGUGAAGCGAGGCUGACGUGGUAACGUGAAAAUAAGCGGGACAGUCUCAAAUCUGCCCCAAUGGCUCUCUAUUAGAGCGUACUGCAGCUCCCCUUUUCACCACAGAAUUGUGGGGCACUGUUGUGCUCGGGAGGGCUCAGGCAUCGUCUGUCCCACUCAUAGCCCGCGUCCCAAUGUGCAUACUAUCCAUCCUAAAUUCUAUGUGACAUUAGUAAUUUUCAAUACUAUUUAGGGCAGGUAGGGUGGAUAGUAUGCACGUUGGGACGCAGGAAUAGACUGUAAAAAACUUAGUAUCAUGUAUACAUGCCUGCUAAAGCCAUGCGCGGGAUUUUAAUAUAUACUGCUUACUUUACUUAAAAUAGUCUAGAAAAUAUUUGUUGCAGAAUGCUGAACACAUUUACAAUUUAUUAUUGAUUCAGUUUAUAUAGAGGUCUAUGUUUUGAAUGAAUAUUUUGGUGGGGCUCUGCCCCAUCUGCCCAUAUAGACGAGCAGCGCCUGGAUUGAGGUGUUUUGUUGUUGGAUGUAAUAAUGAAUAUAGCAGUCCUCAUUAACUCCCGACAUCUGAGCCGCUGAAGACGCAGAGGAUUAACAUUACUUUCCUUUUGAAGGGAAUGUGCUGAUCCUGAUCUACAUAAAUGUGUCUAUGUUCGAGAGAAUCAUUCGUGAUCCAGCUUCAUCUACAGAAGAAGUUAUGGAGAUGAGGACUUCUGAUGCUCCUAUGCCCAGAGUGACAUAACGGAUCUUGUCCUCUGGAAUACCCGCUUCCAAAAAGAUGUCAAAAGAGAAGACGGUGAUCUGUGAGCAAGAAGGGUGUUUGUUUCUCAGCAGAUCCAGCACACUCUUGUUGUGCUCCUCUCCAAUGACUGCCUGUUCUGCUAACAUCUCCUCUAUCUCCAACUUAUAAUCGCCUGGUCCCCACAGACACUGCAGUGCUGCCGA